UACGUAGGGUGCGAGCGUUAAUCGGAUUUACUGGGCGUAAAGCGUACGUAGGCGGCUUGUUAAGCAAGAUGUGAAAUCCCCGGGCUCAACCUGGGAAUGGCAUUUUGAACUGGCAGGCUCGAGUUCUGAAGAGGGUGGUAGAAUUUCCAGUGUAGCGGUGAAAUGCGUAGAUAUUGGAAGGAAUACCGGUGGCGAAGGCGGCCACCUGGUCAGAAACUGACGCUGAGGUACGAAAGCGUGGGGAGCAAACAGG
RNAcentral lists this ribosomal RNA (253 nucleotides) under uncultured microorganism. RNAcentral's name for it is "partial 16S ribosomal RNA". It matches the Rfam family "Bacterial small subunit ribosomal RNA", at positions 524 to 776 of the family's 1533-position model. The record is from RNAcentral.